GUCUACAGCCAUGCCACCCUGAGCAAGCCCGAUCCCGUCUGAUCUCGGAAGCUUAGCAGGGUCAGGCCUGGUUAGUACUUGGAUGGGAGACCACCUAGGAAGACCAGAUGCUGUAGGUA
RNAcentral lists this ribosomal RNA (119 nucleotides) under Pteropus alecto (black flying fox). Lineage: Eukaryota; Metazoa; Chordata; Mammalia; Chiroptera; Pteropodidae. The record is from RNAcentral.